RNAcentral lists this non-coding RNA (70 nucleotides) under Schistosoma mansoni. Lineage: Eukaryota; Metazoa; Platyhelminthes; Trematoda; Strigeidida; Schistosomatidae. The record is from RNAcentral.
CACUUAACUCCGCCUGUAGCUCUUCUAGAGUUACUGCUGGUCCCAAGCCCGGAUAAAGGAGGAGGGUUUG